GGAUGUAUCAACAAGUUGCAACCAACCAUCAACAAGACGAGAAGAAUAUAACCAUAUACAGGAUCUUUAUAUGACAUAACAUAGAUCAACAAUGUAUGCUAGAAAAACCAAUUUGUAUGACUUAAGCAGAAGACAAAAGAAAGCAACAAAGAGCAAAUUAAAGCACAUGCAUCAGGACCACAAACAAACCACAAUGAGCUUAUUAGUCAUAAAUGUUUUAGACAUAUAAACCACAGUAAUAACAGGAUUAUGCAAUUUCAAUAAGAUAUAUUUCAUGAAAGUGCUUCUGUAGUUUGCUGACAUAAUAGGCGUACAACCAAACUUGCCAAAUAUAAUGGGAAACCAUAGCUUUAUUCUAUAGGUAGGUUGGAAGCAUUACAAAGCAAGUACAAUUGCAAAAGCAAGAUUAUAAAGCAAGAUGGAUCCAUAAGCAGAUUUUUCUGGCUGUUGAAAUCUAAAUGAUGAAAAAGGUUAGAAGGAAGAAAAGUGAGGAAGUUUAUUUAAAAAAAAAAAAAAGACCAGAGGAGAAACAGUUUUUUGGAUAAUUAGAUGAAGUUGAAUGAGGCAUGAUUACUGAUAUUGAACAAGGUAGGCAAAAAUAGAACUAAAGACAAUUGUAAAGGUAAAGGGAGCCAAGGCUGGGAAAUAGUUAAGGAGCACUAAACACCUUCAUGAACUUGAACUUGACAUUACACCAAGCCCACUGUCAAGGCCUUGAUAGCAUCACACCAUCAAGAAGGAUAUCAAGAGAAGAAGCUUGUGCUCGUUAGGAACUGAAAUAAUCUCUUCUCGAAUCAAAUCCAACAAAGUUCUGACAGUAAAUUUCCUGAUAAAAUUCACAUUUUUUUGGGUCCCUAUUACUACCAACUCCCAAACCGGCUCUAAUACAACUCUGGCUUAGAUUGAAUCUACAUCCUUUGGAUGAAAUACUUUGUGGCCUUGGGAUAUUGUACCAUAGAUUUUUUUAUUUCAAUUUAGCUGUUGGUAAUGAUGGAUAUGUAGAUGCACAUCAAAGACUUGCAUUGGAAUAUUAGAAUCUUUAUUUAUGAUAUUUCCAUGUAAAAAGCAUGCAUAUAAGUUUUAGAAUAUUUAUACUUUCCCACAAUGGUGAUUCUGGAGUUAUCCUCUUGGAAGAGAUUGAGGGCCGCGAAUGCACACAACCCUUCGAGAAGCCGCUUCAAUCCACUUGCUCUAUCUUCCAAGGCCAAGGCCUUCAACAACUGCAGGCUAAGGGGAAGCUCUGCAACAAGACCUUGUUCUAUUGCUUAAGAACAAACCUCCUUCUCUCUUCCUCUCUUUUCUUGGAGAAGAAGCUCUCUGUCGUUACACUCUCUCUUUAUUUUUCCUCACACCAAGUUUUCUCCUAGGCGCCACCACCCACAACCCUAGGGUGCCUCAUCUAGGAUUAUAUAGAGGGAGGUGCCAGGGUUUCUCCUCAACUCAGGCCCCUUAGAGUAUGCAUUGGACUCAAAUAGGAGAAAAGAGGGAGCAGCCUUGGGUGCCUCCUCCCAUAUGAUGUCGCACUCCCAUAGGGAGUGCACCAUCAUAAAGCACAUUAGAGAGGGAAAAGGAGGGGCAGCCCCACAUGGGUGGCCGCCCGCUACUUGAACCCAUCCAAGUUGCCCCAGGUCAAGGCUCAAUCUAGUCCUUCUUGACCUGACUUAGCCUAAACCCAUAGUUAGACAAUUUGUUCAGCCAGAUUAGAGCUCAAAUAAUCCUCCAAUCAAAUCCAAACCUUUCUUGAUUCAAUUAAAGAUUAUUUACAGAGAGAAUAACUAAUUAGAAUCUUAUUCCAAUUAACCUUAAGAUAGAUGGCACAUGCUAGACGUGUUACAAUGGUAAUAGAAAUUAGGUUCCUGCUCACCAAUAACCUACCUCUAUAGGAUAGUCACACUGUAGCAGCUUGAUCUAGCAUAAGGAUAGGGAGCCCAUACUGCAUUACCAGGCUCCUGGUGAGUUAAGAUGAAACUAGUUGGUCUCCUUGUCCCUGCACAAGCUUUAUGUUGCAAUUCAACUCCUUAUCAUUUUAGUGUCCUUGUAUGACCAUUGAAAGCUCAUACAUUGUCAAAACUUAGUCAUACUAUAUCAAGGCCCAUUAGAACUACGGAUCAUGUAUGUGUGUGUGUGUGUAUAUAUAUAUAUAUAUAUAUAUAUAUACCACUGAGUAAAAUCUUUUCGCACCAAACCUUUCAAAAAUACUUAACUUUACUUAUAAUAAUUAUUUUGUCAAAACAAUUAUUUUCAAAACUUAAGUAACUGUUUGGAUCCUAGGUCUUACAUAUUUGACCAUAUCUCUAUUCUAAUAUGGAUACUAUGCUAUAUGAUAAUUUGGACAUUGUGCCAUAUGAUAAUAUGGACACUAGGCCAUAUAAUGGUAUCUAUGUAGGAUAGCUAAACCCUCUCUCACAUCCAACUCCAGUAAAUCAUUGUGCUCUCUAUCAAGGACAUAGUCCAAGACAUCACUGUCGAUACAUGAGUUUAGCCGCAAAUUUACUAACAACCAGAAUUCAGUAAAUUGUCCUACUCUUCUGGUCAAAGGACCACUUGCAAGCUAUAUAGUCUAGUUCACACCUCAACUCUUGACAAUGAUUUUCAAGAAUAGUCAACAUGAUAGCACACCCAAGUAUCAGCGUCAGGUCACCACCUUGGUGGAGGAGGAACUCUAUGUAGUCACCGUACACCUCAACAACCUUAUAUGUACGAUGUCCAACCUCAUAUAUAACUAUGAACAUCCAAGUACUUAGGAAGCACCAAUCCUUCCUAUAGUAAAUACAUUGACCUAAGGUCUAUCAUACCAACCCAUAUUGAUCGUAUCGUACCGUACCAUUAAGAUACCCAAGGUUCGCCAUUUCGGUACCAGACCCCGUACGGGUAGCAUCCUAUUAUGGUAUCGGUACAUCCGGUAUGCAGGUCAAUUCAGCAUAUCAAGUAUUGAUACACCCUCCGUAUUGCAUACCGAUUUGGUAUUGAUACAAUACGGUCAAUACGCAUCAGUAUCAAUCGAUACGGCAAACCUUGAAGGUACUAGUACGGUAUAAUACAGUACGAUACUAGUCCAUACGAGCCUAAAUCGAGCAAAAUUAUCAUAUACUGCUAUUGAUGUCAAUGGAAACAAAUACCCAAAUAUUUUACCCGUCGCCAAACUAAACAGAGCUAUUUUAACCGAAAUUAAUUAAGGAUGGUUUCAACGAUGGUUUUAAAAAUAAAAAAUCAUUGAAUUUCGGUUUUGGUUUCGGUUCCGAUUUUGGUGAAUUUUCCAACCCAAAUCCGACUCGACACCAAACCCAAAACCAGACAUACCUGAUAAUUAAUGCCCUUGUUACCUUUUGUAUUUAGUGUAAAUCCAAGUUAGGAACUCUAUGAAAUAGUAGUGAAGAUGACUUUUAGGUCAAUAAGAUAAUCUAUAGAACAUUUUUUGGUAUUAAUAAAAUUGCAGUCUUUGAAUAAAUGGUUCUCAAUUAUAUUAUAAAUUAUCUUAUUAGAUGAGCCUGUUUUUCUUGUAUUUUUUUUCUUCUUUGAGGCAUAAUAUAUUCGUGGAUUAGUGAAGGCAAAAUGAAGGAUUGGAUUGUUCACCAAAAAUUUUUCGCAUUGAAAAAUUUAUCAUUAUAUUUUCUUUAUGUAGUUGGACUUGUUUUUAACUUAGACUAUUAUGUUUGUUGGAUGGUUGUAUUAUUAUUUUUGGAUUAUUGAGUUUGUUUGAUGGUGGUAUUAUUAGUUUUGGAUAUAUUUAUUACUUGAGUUGGUAAUAAAUUAUAUUAUGAAAAUUAUGGACGAUGCCUUUAAUUUGGUUAUUUAUAUGUGAAAAUUUUGAAAUGACUACAAAAACUAAAAGAUGUUUUGUUUUUCGAUUUUAGUUUUGAUAUUGCCAUUUUUUGUGGUGGUUAUGAUAUUUUACUUCAAAAAUUGUCUGGCUUUGGUUCGGUUUCGAGGAGCAAUGGUGGAUUUUGGAUUCAGUUCGGUUUUUUUCACUAAUCGCAUUAAAUUUGCGUUGUUGACAUCCCUACAUACUACUUGGUACCGCUCCAAAUUAAGAUGAAUACCAUACAGUACCAACCCAUUUUGCAUGAUUUCAAGCAGUGUCAUGACAAAAGUGAGAAAAAAGGGUCUGAAACCGUAUGAUACCAACCAUACUGUACCGAACCAGCAACAUACCAGCAUGAUACCUAGUAUCAAGAUUGCGGACCUUUCUCUAACCACUUGGAUAAUUUCCCUGGGGUACUCAUGGACUCUUUUCGGACUCUACAACCGAUGUAUGACACAUAUCCUAUAUUGUUUAAGUGAUCAUGAUAAGUAAAAGUUCAUAUAUUAUUCUAAAAAGGUAAAGCAUGGACCUUUGUUCCCAU
Phoenix dactylifera (date palm) is the source of this 4343-nucleotide non-coding RNA. The record is from RefSeq and is a predicted model, not a curated record. NCBI's taxonomy places the organism in Eukaryota, Viridiplantae, Streptophyta, Magnoliopsida, Arecales, Arecaceae.